RNAcentral lists this ribosomal RNA (429 nucleotides) under uncultured bacterium. Its description in RNAcentral is "bacterial SSU rRNA". It matches the Rfam family "Bacterial small subunit ribosomal RNA", at positions 917 to 1349 of the family's 1533-position model. The record is from RNAcentral.
GGGCCCGCACAAGCGGUGGAGCAUGUGGUUUAAUUCGAUGAUACGCGAGGAACCUUACCAGGGCUUAAAUGUAGUCUGACAGGGGUGGAAACACCUCCUCCUUCGGGCAGAUUACAAGGUGCUGCAUGGUUGUCGUCAGCUCGUGCCGUGAGGUGUCAGGUUAAGUCCUAUAACGAGCGCAACCCCUGCCGUUAGUUGCCAGCAUGUAAUGAUGGGAACUCUAACGGGACUGCCGGUGCAAACCGCGAGGAAGGUGGGGAUGACGUCAAAUCAUCACGGCCCUUACGUCCUGGGCUACACACGUGCUACAAUGGCCGGUACAGAGGGCAGCCACACCGCAAGGUGGAGCGAAUCCUUAAAACCGAUCUCAGUUCGGAUCGCAGUCUGCAACUCGACUGCGUGAAGCUGGAAUCGCUAGUAAUCGGAUAU